This 23-nucleotide non-coding RNA is filed under the name Mus musculus (house mouse). The record is from RNAcentral. RNAcentral also lists the same sequence under 1 other name. Lineage: Eukaryota; Metazoa; Chordata; Mammalia; Rodentia; Muridae.
UGUUUGCAACUUUGUGACGCCUG